RNAcentral lists this ribosomal RNA (2877 nucleotides) under Cupriavidus taiwanensis. RNAcentral describes it as "bacterial LSU rRNA". It matches the Rfam family "Bacterial large subunit ribosomal RNA". Lineage: Bacteria; Pseudomonadati; Pseudomonadota; Betaproteobacteria; Burkholderiales; Burkholderiaceae. The record is from RNAcentral.
UCAAGCGAACAAGUGCAUGUGGUGGAUGCCUUGGCGAUCACAGGCGAUGAAGGACGCGGUAGCCUGCGAAAAGCUUCGGGGAGCUGGCAAACGAGCUUUGAUCCGGAGAUGUCCGAAUGGGGAAACCCGGCCCGUAUGGGUCAUCCCUUGCUGAAUACAUAGGCAAGGGAAGCGAACGCGGCGAACUGAAACAUCUAAGUAGCUGCAGGAACAGAAAUCAACCGAGAUUCCCAAAGUAGUGGCGAACGAAAUGGGAAGAGCCUUGUACUCUUUAGCAGUGGUGUUAGCAGAACGGGAUGGAAAGCCCGGCCAUAGCAGGUGAUAGCCCUGUAUGCGAAAACACGAUUGUGGAACUAGGUGUACGACAAGUAGGGCGGGACACGUGAAAUCCUGUCUGAAGAUGGGGGGACCAUCCUCCAAGGCUAAAUACUCGUGAUCGACCGAUAGUGAACCAGUACCGUGAGGGAAAGGCGAAAAGAACCCCGGGAGGGGAGUGAAAUAGAUCCUGAAACCGCAUGCAUACAAACAGUCGGAGCCCUUUCGGGGGUGACGGCGUACCUUUUGUAUAAUGGGUCAGCGACUUACAUUCAGUGGCAAGCUUAACCGAUUAGGGAAGGCGUAGCGAAAGCGAGUCCGAACAGGGCGUUGAGUCGCUGGGUGUAGACCCGAAACCAGAUGAUCUAUCCAUGGCCAGGUUGAAGGUGCGGUAACACGUACUGGAGGACCGAACCCACUAACGUUGAAAAGUUAGGGGAUGAGCUGUGGAUAGGGGUGAAAGGCUAAACAAAUCUGGAAAUAGCUGGUUCUCUCCGAAAACUAUUUAGGUAGUGCCUCGUGUCUCACCUUCGGGGGUAGAGCACUGUCAUGGUUGGGGGGUCUAUUGCUGAUUACCCCGCCAUAGCAAACUCCGAAUACCGAAGAGUGCAAUCACGGGAGACAGACAUCGGGUGCUAACGUCCGGUGUCAAGAGGGAAACAACCCAGACCGCCAGCUAAGGUCCCCAAGAUUGGCUAAGUGGGAAACGAAGUGGGAAGGCUAAAACAGUCAGGAGGUUGGCUUAGAAGCAGCCACCCUUUAAAGAAAGCGUAAUAGCUCACUGAUCGAGUCGUCCUGCGCGGAAGAUGUAACGGGGCUAAGCCAGUCACCGAAGCUGCGGACGCACGCAAGUGCGUGGUAGGAGAGCGUUCUGUAAGCCUGUGAAGGUGUCUUGUAAAGGAUGCUGGAGGUAUCAGAAGUGCGAAUGCUGACAUGAGUAGCGAUAAAGGGGGUGAAAGGCCCCCUCGCCGUAAGCCCAAGGUUUCCUACGCAACGUUCAUCGGCGUAGGGUGAGUCGGCCCCUAAGGCGAGGCAGAGAUGCGUAGCUGAUGGGAAGCAGGUUAAUAUUCCUGCACCGUCGUAUGAUGCGAUGGGGGGACGGAUCGCGGAAGGUUGUCCGGGUGUUGGAAGUCCCGGUCCCUGCAUUGGAGAAGGCGCUCAGGCAAAUCCGGGCGCGGAAUUCAAGGAUGUGGGGCGAGCGGCCUAGUGCUGCGAAGCAAUUGGAAGUGGUUCCAAGAAAAGCCUCUAAGCUUCAGUCAUACGAGACCGUACCGCAAACCGACACAGGUGGGCGAGAUGAGUAUUCUAAGGCGCUUGAGAGAACUCGGGAGAAGGAACUCGGCAAAUUGGUACCGUAACUUCGGGAUAAGGUACGCCCUGGUAGCUUGACUGGCCUGCGCCAGAAGGGUGAAGGGGUUGCAAUAAAAUGGUGGCUGCGACUGUUUAAUAAAAACACAGCACUCUGCAAACACGAAAGUGGACGUAUAGGGUGUGACGCCUGCCCGGUGCCGGAAGAUUAAAUGAUGGGGUGCAAGCUCUUGAUUGAAGUCCCGGUAAACGGCGGCCGUAACUAUAACGGUCCUAAGGUAGCGAAAUUCCUUGUCGGGUAAGUUCCGACCUGCACGAAUGGCGUAACGAUGGCCACACUGUCUCCUCCCGAGACUCAGCGAAGUUGAAGUGUUUGUGAUGAUGCAAUCUCCCCGCGGCUAGACGGAAAGACCCCAUGAACCUUUACUGUAGCUUUGCAUUGGACUUUGAACCGAUCUGUGUAGGAUAGGUGGGAGGCUUUGAAGCGUGGACGCUAGUUCACGUGGAGCCGUCCUUGAAAUACCACCCUGGUUUGUUUGAGGUUCUAACCUUGGCCCGUGAAUCCGGGUCGGGGACAGUGCAUGGUAGGCAGUUUGACUGGGGCGGUCUCCUCCCAAAGUGUAACGGAGGAGUUCGAAGGUACGCUUGGUACGGUCGGACAUCGUACCUAAAGUGCAAUGGCAAAAGCGUGCUUAACUGCGAGACCGACAAGUCGAGCAGGUGCGAAAGCAGGACAUAGUGAUCCGGUGGUUCUGAAUGGAAGGGCCAUCGCUCAACGGAUAAAAGGUACUCUGGGGAUAACAGGCUGAUACCGCCCAAGAGUUCAUAUCGACGGCGGUGUUUGGCACCUCGAUGUCGGCUCAUCUCAUCCUGGGGCUGUAGCCGGUCCCAAGGGUAUGGCUGUUCGCCAUUUAAAGAGGUACGUGAGCUGGGUUUAAAACGUCGUGAGACAGUUUGGUCCCUAUCUGCCGUGGGCGUUGGAAUCUUGACGGGGGCUGCUCCUAGUACGAGAGGACCGGAGUGGACGUACCGCUGGUGUACCUGUUGUCUCGCCAGAGGCAUCGCAGGGUAGCUAUGUACGGAAGAGAUAACCGCUGAAAGCAUCUAAGCGGGAAACUCGCCUGAAGAUGAGGAUUCCCUGGAGGCUUGACCUCCUUGAAGGGUCGUUCGAGACCAGGACGUUGAUAGGCUGGGUGUGGAAGCGCAGUAAUGCGUUAAGCUAACCAGUACUAAUUGCCCGUAAGGCUUGAUCCU